CUAAUCCUUCCUCGUACGUAAUCGACUCCCGAACCCGUUUUUCUAGAUUUCGUGGACCAAAAUCGUUGUUUUAAUAAAAUUAAAACCGUUUAUUAAAAACAAUCACUUUUCGAGGUGAUCCAAUCACACCUCAUAAAAAGGGGAUUGGUGACGACUCCCGUUUCAUUUUUCAAAACCCAAGUCGACCCUGUUUUUCCAUCCAAAAAAUGGUGUCAACAUAGAGUAUGGAAAGAAGAUCUAAUUAUCAAUACCUUUGGGAGGAAAGAUGCCACUAGAAUUCUCCGUAUCCCGCUGGUACGAGAAGCACAUGACGAUCAGAUGGUGUGGAGUGGCGAGCCCUUUAGGGAGUUCUCGGUUCGCAAUACUUACAAACCAUAACGAAAGUAUCCUAUGGAUCCUAAUGUUUAUGCAUUAAAAAACAAAGCUAAAGAAUUAUACAAACAACUUUGGGGCCUAAAUCUCCUUGGGAAAAUAAAUAUUACAGUUUGGAGGAUCUCCUGGAAUUACAUCCCCACUCUUGUGAACAAGAACCAUAAGAAGCUUCCCCAUAUUACAAUGUGUCCAUCGAUGUGGUGAAGUAACUAAAACAAUCACCCAUGUAUUUCGAGUGUGUCCUGCUUCCAGAGAAGUUUUGUCAGGUUUACAAUUGUCAUGGAUUUUACAUUUUGAUGAUUUGGAUUUUGAACAGCGGUUUACCUGGGCUAUUGGGGGUGUUCGUUUAACCAAAAGUGUAUCAUUUGCUGUGCACUUUGGGCAAUUUGGGGAGAUAACAAUACGUGGGUCCAUGAAAAGAGAAGAAAAUCAGGUAAAGAUUUAAUUGCUUUUGUACGAGAUUUUAUUAAUGAGUUAGAAGGGGUGAAGAUAUAGACCUAUCAAAGUGCGAAUCUGGGGGGAAAAUGGGGAAAGCCUUCUGGGAAUACGAUGAAGAUAAACUUCAAUGGCGCUUAUGACGAUGGUAUUUUUAGAUCGGCUUCAGGAAUUGUCGCUAUGAACGUCGAGGGGGCGGCCCUAUGCUCUCGUUCGGAAGUUCACGACGAAGUGGCAUCCGCAUUUGCAGCCGAAGCCAUUGCAUGUCAAAAGGCAGUAGAAAUGGGGUCAGAAAUGGGGUGGAAGAUAUUAUUGUGGAAGGGGAUUCAUUAUCUAUAGUUAAGAAAUGUAAAGAAAAAAUCCAGGACAAAUCGGUUAUCGGAGCAUAUAUCCACAACAUUAAGAAAGUAACAGGUAGAUUUCGGACAGUUAGAUUCACAUAUGUGCCUCAAACGGCUAAUGGUUUAUGGCACACACAAUCGCAAAAGAGGCGUUAAGAAGAAGGGAAUUGUCUUACCUGGUGCGCAAGGUUCCGGUAUAUGCGGAACUAGCGCUGGAAGUUGAUUGGGAGAGGGAACCGGAUUGGAAUCUGCGAUGAACAAAAGGAGAGUUGAGGAGAGGUUUUGUUGAAAUGGCUUUUGGAAGAGUUCCUCUCCGAGUUCUGGAACCGUCAGCGGCAGGAAAUGACGAUAUUUGGGGACCGGUGAUCUGAAGCAAUUUGACUGGGCAAGUUAGACGGUGCCUUUACUUUCUAAUUAUGUUGUUUUAUCCGUUUAUCUUGUGGGCCAUUUGGAUUUGGGCCUUUUCUUGGUUUUGUUUGAUUUGGACCAUAUUUGCAGUCGGUAGGUUUUAUACUUUGGUUUUAUUAAUAAAUAGCCCAAUCAGAUUUAUUUAAAAAAAAUAUUAAAUUUGACAUGUAUAAUUUAUAUGAAUAGACUAUAAAAUAUAACG
Molecule: long non-coding RNA, 1758 nt
Filed under: Gossypium barbadense (sea-island cotton)
Lineage: Eukaryota; Viridiplantae; Streptophyta; Magnoliopsida; Malvales; Malvaceae
Description: long non-coding RNA (GBAR_LNC013520)
Source: RNAcentral